RNAcentral lists this ribosomal RNA (468 nucleotides) under uncultured bacterium. RNAcentral's name for it is "partial 16S ribosomal RNA". It matches the Rfam family "Bacterial small subunit ribosomal RNA", at positions 28 to 507 of the family's 1533-position model. The record is from RNAcentral.
GACGAACGCUGGCGGCGUGCUUAACACAUGCAAGUCGAACGGAAAGGCCCUGCUUUUGUGGGGUGCUCGAGUGGCGAACGGGUGAGUAACACGUGAGUAACCUGCCCUUGACUUUGGGAUAACUUCAGGAAACUGGGGCUAAUACCGGAUAGGAGCUCCUGCUGCAUGGUGGGGGUUGGAAAGGUUCGGCGGUUGGGGAUGGACUCGCGGGUUAUCAGCUUGUUGGUGGGGUAGUGGCUUACCAAGGUUUUGACGGGUAGCCGGCAUGAGAGGGUGACCGGCCACAUUGGGACUGAGAUACGGCCCAGACUCCUACGGGAGGCAGCAGUGGAGAAUAUUGCACAAUGGGCGGAAGCCUGAUGCAGCAACGCCGCGUGCGGGAUGACGGCCUUCGGGUUGUGAACCGCUUUCGCCUGUGACGAAGCGUGAGUGACGGUAAUGGGUAAAGAAGCACCGGCUAACUACGUG